This is a long non-coding RNA of Brassica napus (rape), 829 nucleotides long. RefSeq lists it as uncharacterized. The transcript is spliced from 3 exons. Lineage: Eukaryota; Viridiplantae; Streptophyta; Magnoliopsida; Brassicales; Brassicaceae. The record is from RefSeq and is a predicted model, not a curated record.
UAUUAAAGUAAAUAUUCUGUUUUGGUCCAUGUACAAAAAUCCUAGGAUUUUCCACCUUAUCUCCUAUAAAAGAGGGCAAAUCUUAUCUAUUUUCUCCACAUAAAGAAAACCUACCAAAUACUAUCCAAUUGAAAAGUGAGCAGUCGUUGACUGAGGAGGACCAACCGUUGGCCACAUGAGUUCUUCUGACCACCACGCUGUGUCGCAACUGAGGAGGUCUUGUGGUGUUUCGAUCCUUUUUCGUCAUUUUCUCUAUUCUUGCUUUUUUUCUCUCGAUCCGUCCACGUGAUGAGGAUCUGGUUUGUGUGGAGCUGUUAAACACAUUUUCUACAUCUUCUCGCAUCUCGCAGAUCUAUGCUCAGAAGGGAUUAAGGCCUAUGUGGCUGCCGGUGAAACAUAACGGAAAGCAGUAUUACUGAGGUUUAUCGUCGGAGAAGACAUGGGUGGACCAUGUAAGGUGGAAUGUUUUAUCGUCGGAGCAGACAUGUCGUGUGCAUGUGGGUGGAGUUGAGAAUGUGGUGGCAUGGAUAGCAUGAAUGCCUUGAACUCACAGGAACUGAUUGUGGUGGUGAGCUCUCAUGCAACAACAUGAGGGGUGUGGGGACCACAUGAGGUGGUGUUGUCUCAUGUGUAACCGUCGAGGUUUAUCAUCAUUUCUUAUUGAUUUAUCUUGUUUUGUUGGAUGUUCUAGCCAGACCUUUUGCUAUGUUGUGUGAUGAUUGUUGGUGGUUGAUUUAAGGGAUUCUAGAGAUUCUCUCUCUAAGUUUUUGUUGUAAAAUUCAUAUAUUUUUUCUUUGCAAGUGAGUUCGAAGAAGUGCAUGAAUAGUCA